UAGGAAGUGGUGUAGUGGGAACACUUGGAGUUUUGAUCUCCAUAAUAUGGGUUCAAGUCCCUUCUUUCUAA
This 71-nucleotide transfer RNA is filed under the name Noturus baileyi (smoky madtom). Its description in RNAcentral is "tRNA-Gln". It matches the Rfam family "tRNA". Rfam says of the family: Transfer RNA (tRNA) molecules are approximately 80 nucleotides in length. The record is from RNAcentral. Lineage: Eukaryota; Metazoa; Chordata; Actinopteri; Siluriformes; Ictaluridae.